AUCACUUGGAGCAGGGAGGCAGAGCCAGCUGAGCAGAGAGGAGACAGUGAAACUUCCCCACAUUUAUAAGGGGAGCUCCAAGAGAAUUGGAAGGAGACUUUGGAAGAAGGGAUGGAGAGAAAGGACACAGGGAACGGCUUCGAGCUGAAAGAGGGAAGGAAAAUAAAAGGAAUCCAUUCUGGGAAACUCCACCAGUUUUGCCAGUGAAAGCUGUGAUUUUGUGUACAAAAAGAUUAUUAAAU
Molecule: long non-coding RNA, 242 nt
Organism: Vidua chalybeata
Lineage: Eukaryota; Metazoa; Chordata; Aves; Passeriformes; Viduidae
Exons: 3
Source: RefSeq, a predicted model, not a curated record